AUGGAUAAGAGAGUGGGAAAAGAAAAUGGAAGAGGAAGAGGAAAGCAAAGAACUGCAAUAUCAGAUGACAUUUGUGGUACUGUGGUUGACUAUGUUCUUGUUGGUGGUUUGAAAAUGAGAGAAUCAGGGCAACAAGUAUAUUCAAAUCUCACUCGCUACACAGACUCAAGAUGUCAGAUUUCUGUUAAUCAACCAUCAGCACCAAAGUCAAUUCCUCCUGGAGGGAGCGUCACCUUCAGCUGUACUACUGCCAGUAAUGUGGGUAACGCCAUAAACUGGUAUCAGCAGAGACCUGGACAAACUCCUAAACCUCUCAUCACUGCUGCAAGCUCUCGCUAUGGUGACACCCCGAGUCGCUUCACUGGCAGUGUAACUUCAGGAACUUCAUACAGUUUGACUAUCAGUGGAGUUCAGCCUGAAGACGCCGGUCACUACUACUGUAUGCAGUAUAACAGCUACCCUUUCACACAAUGA
This is a non-coding RNA of Erpetoichthys calabaricus (reedfish), 474 nucleotides long. NCBI's taxonomy places the organism in Eukaryota, Metazoa, Chordata, Cladistia, Polypteriformes, Polypteridae. The record is from the annotation of a RefSeq genome assembly.